UACAUGCAAGUCGAACGCGAUCCUUGGAUUCGUCUGAGGUGAGAGUGGCGAAUGGGUGAGUAACACGUAGGUGACCUGCCCCGAAGAUGGGGAUAACGGCUGGAAACGGUCGCUAAUACCCAAUAUGCUUGGUCAUUCGAUUGACUAAGUAAAGCCCCCGUCAGGGGAACGCUUCGGGAGGGGCCUGCGGUCCAUCAGCUAGUUGGUAGGGUAAUGGCCUACCAAGGCGAAGACGGGUAGGGGGCGUGAGAGCGUGAUCCCCCACACUGGCACUUGGACACGGGCCAGACUCCUGCGGGAGGCAGCAGUAAGGAAUAUUGCACAAUGGGCAAAAGCCUGAUGCAGCAACGCCGCGUGGACGAUGAAGGCUUUCGGGUCGUAAAGUCCUUUUCUAGGGGAAUAGUAAGGAAGGUACUCUAGGAAUAAGCGUCGGCUAACUACGUGCCAGCAGCCGCGGUAAAACGUAGGACGCAAGCGUUAUCCGAAUUCACUGGGCGUAAAGCGCCUGUAGGCGGUUCCGUAAGUUGGGCGUGAAAGCCCCCGGCUCAACUGGGGGAGGUCGUUCAAUACUGUGAGACUUGAGGGCGGUAGAGGGGAGUGGAAUUCUCGGUGGAGUGGUGAAAUGCGUAGAUAUCGAGAGGAACACCAGUGGCGAAGGCGGCUCCCUGGACCGUACCUGACGCUCAGAGGCGAAAGCUAGGGGAGCGAACGGGAUUAGAAACCCCGGUAGUCCUAGCCGUAAACGAUGGAUGCUGGGUGUGGGAGGUAUAGAUUCCUUCUGUGCCGAAGCUAACGCGUUAAGCAUCCCGCCUGGGAACUACGGCCGCAAGGCUAAAACUCAAACGAAUUGACGGGGGCCCGCACAAGCAGCGGAGCGUGUGGUUCAAUUCGAUUUUACACGAAGAACCUUACCUGGGUUUGAAAUGCGCGUAGUAGGGAUCCGAAAGGUGACCGUCUCGCAAGGGGGCGCGCACAGGUGCUGCAUGGCUGUCGUCAGCUCGUGCCGUGAGGUGUUAGGUUAAGUCCUGUAACGAGCGCAACCCUCGUCGCUAGUUAUAUGUGUCUAGCGAGACUGCCCGGCUAAACCGGGAGGAAGGUGGGGAUGACGUCAAGUCAGCAUGGCCUUUAUGUCCAGGGCUACACACACGCUACAAUGGCCGGUACAAUGGGAUGCCAAGCCGCGAGGCGGAGCUAAUCCUCCAAAGCCGGUCUCAGUUCGGAUUGCAGGCUGCAACUCGCCUGCAUGAAGCUGGAGUUGCUAGUAACCGCGCAUCAGCUAUGGCGCGGUGAAUACGUUCCCGGGCCUUGUACACACCGCCCGUCACGUCAUGGGAGUCGGCAACACCUGAAGCCGGCGGGCUAACCGUAAGGAGGCAGCUGUCGAAGGUGGGGUCGGUGACUGGGACGAAGUCGUAACAAGGUA
Molecule: ribosomal RNA, 1423 nt
Filed under: metagenome
Description: bacterial SSU rRNA
Rfam family: Bacterial small subunit ribosomal RNA
Source: RNAcentral